UACAGAGGGUGCGAGCGUUAAUCGGAAUCACUGGGCGUAAAGGGUGCGUAGGCGGGUCUUUAAGUCAGGGGUGAAAUCCUGGAGCUCAACUCCAGAACUGCCUUUGAUACUGAGGAUCUUGAGUUCGGGAGAGGUGAGUGGAACUGCGAGUGUAGAGGUGAAAUUCGUAGAUAUUCGCAAGAACACCAGUGGCGAAGGCGGCUCACUGGCCCGAUACUGACGCUGAGGCACGAAAGCGUGGGGAGCAAACAGG
RNAcentral lists this ribosomal RNA (253 nucleotides) under uncultured bacterium. Its description in RNAcentral is "partial 16S ribosomal RNA". It matches the Rfam family "Bacterial small subunit ribosomal RNA", at positions 524 to 776 of the family's 1533-position model. The record is from RNAcentral.